CCUACGGGAGGCAGCAGUGAGGAAUAUUGGUCAAUGGGCGUAAGCCUGAACCAGCCAAGUCGCGUGAGGGAUGAAGGUUCUAUGGAUCGUAAACCUCUUUUAUAAGGGAAUAAAGUGUGGGACGUGUCCUGUUUUGUAUGUACCUUAUGAAUAAGGAUCGGCUAACUCCGUGCCAGCAGCCGCGGUAAUACGGAGGAUCCGAGCGUUAUCCGGAUUUAUUGGGUUUAAAGGGUGCGUAGGUGGGCUUUUAAGUCAGCGGUGAAAGUCUGUGGCUCAACCAUAGAAUUGCCGUUGAAACUGGGAGGCUUGAGUAUGUUUGAGGCAGGCGGAAUGCGUGGUGUAGCGGUGAAAUGCUUAGAUAUCACGCAGAACCCCGAGUGCGAAGGCAGCCUGCCAAGCCACGACUGACGCUGAUGCACGAAAGCGUGGGGAUCAAACAGGAUUAGAUACCCUGGUAGUC
Molecule: ribosomal RNA, 460 nt
Filed under: uncultured bacterium
Lineage: Bacteria
Description: partial 16S ribosomal RNA
Rfam family: Bacterial small subunit ribosomal RNA
Source: RNAcentral